RNAcentral lists this ribosomal RNA (468 nucleotides) under uncultured bacterium. RNAcentral describes it as "partial 16S ribosomal RNA". It matches the Rfam family "Bacterial small subunit ribosomal RNA", at positions 28 to 507 of the family's 1533-position model. The record is from RNAcentral.
GACGAACGCUGGCGGCGUGCUUAACACAUGCAAGUCGAACGGAAAGACCCUGCUUUUGUGGGGUGCUCGAGUGGCGAACGGGUGAGUAACACGUGAGUAACCUGCCCUUGACUUUGGGAUAACUUCAGGAAACUGGGGCUAAUACCGGAUAGGAGCUCCUGCUGCAUGGUGGGGGGUGGAAAGUUUCGGCGGUUGGGGAUGGACUCGCGGCUUAUCAGCUUGUUGGUGGGGUAGUGGCUUACCAAGGCUUUGACGGGUAGCCGGCCUGAGAGGGUGACCGGCCACAUUGGGACUGAGAUACGGCCCAGACUCCUACGGGAGGCAGCAGUGGGGAAUAUUGCACAAUGGGCGGAAGCCUGAUGCAGCAACGCCGCGUGCGGGAUGACGGCCUUCGGGUUGUAAACCGCUUUCGCCUGUGACGAAGCGUGAGUGACGGUAAUGGGUAAAGAAGCACCGGCUAACUACGUG